This is a non-coding RNA of Triticum aestivum (bread wheat), 103 nucleotides long. The record is from Rfam. NCBI's taxonomy places the organism in Eukaryota, Viridiplantae, Streptophyta, Magnoliopsida, Poales, Poaceae.
GAAAAUUAGGGGACAUCCUAUUAAAUUGAAACCAUACAAAGAAGAUUAGCAUGACCCCUGCACAAGUGUAACACAAACAAAUCUAGAUCAAAUUAACAGUUAA